Molecule: non-coding RNA, 340 nt
Organism: Caenorhabditis elegans
Lineage: Eukaryota; Metazoa; Nematoda; Chromadorea; Rhabditida; Rhabditidae
Source: Ensembl
AAUGGGUAUAAAUUUGAUGAAACUUGAUGAAAAUUGUGUAAACGUAACAAAGAAAGAGAUGGGAAAAGUUUUGAAGGAAAAGAAGAAUUAAUUGUUUACGUUGAAACACGCAUUCAAACAAAAAUAAAAGUUGGGAAAAACGGAAAGCGGUCCCCGAUAGACGGGAAGCCAAUCUAAUGUGUUUAUAAAUGGAAAAUGGAAAGGACCCUGUGCGCGUUGGUGAGUUGCCAAAACCUUCGGAAGUGAAAAAGGACAAAAAGGUAGAAAAGAGGGGAAAAGAGACACAAAAAAGUGUACGAGAGCAGCGGCAAAGUGGCUAGAGAGUCAGAGAAAUUUGAUU